AAAAGUUUUGGUCCUGGACUUACUGUUGUUUACUAUUAAGCUUAUACAUGCAAGUCUCAGCAUACCAGUGAAAAUGCCCAAGCCCCCUAAAAAGAAAUACCGGAGCAGGCAUCAGGCACUACCUUUUAUGCCCAUAACGCCUUGUCCUACCACACCCCCACGGGAUUUCAGCAGUAAUAAACAUUGGGCUAUGAGUGAAAACUUGACCCAACUAUAAUAUAAAGGGCUGGUAAAUUUCGUGCCAGCCACCGCGGUUAAACGAAAGGCCCAAGACAACAGAAAAACGGCGUAAAUUGUGACUAGAUGCGAUUAACAACAAAAAUAUUGAACUCUAAACUAGUUGUAAAAUGCUUAAUUUACGAGGAAACCCACAAAAUAUUUUUUUACUUACCCCCUUUGAUCACACGAAAGCUUAGAAACAAACUAGGAUUAGAUACCCUACUAUGCUAAGCCCUUAACAUUGAUAGCAUAUUAUACCUUGCUAUUCGCCAGAGAACUACAAGUGAAAAACUUUAAACUCAAAGGACUUGGCGGUGUCCCAUACCGACCUAGAGGAGCCUGUCCUAUAAUCGAUACCCCCCGCUCCACCUCACCUCUUCUAGCACCCGCUCAGCUUAUAUACCGCCGUCGACAGUUUACCCCAUGAGGGAUUAAUAGUAGACACAACAGCCCCCGCUAACACGUCAGGUCAAGGUGUAGCCCAUGUUGAGGAAGAGAUUGGCUACAUUUUUUGUACCAAAAAACACGGAAUGCAACAUGAAACCCUGCAUGAAGGUGAAUUUAGUAGUAAGACUAAACAAGAGUGUUUAUCUUAACAUCGCUCUGGGACGCGCACACACCGCCCGUCACCCUCCUCGCUGACCCCCCCCCCCCAUCUAUAAACCAACUAAACCGACUAGAGGAGGCAAGUCGUAACAUGGUAAGCGUACCGGAAGGUGUGCUUGGAA
RNAcentral lists this non-coding RNA (947 nucleotides) under Eremias scripta (Sand racerunner). Its description in RNAcentral is "12S ribosomal RNA". It matches the Rfam family "Bacterial small subunit ribosomal RNA". Lineage: Eukaryota; Metazoa; Chordata; Lepidosauria; Squamata; Lacertidae. The record is from RNAcentral.